GGGGGAUUAGCUCAGCUGGCUAGAGCAUCUGCCUUGCACGCAGAGGGUCAACGGUUCGAAUCC
RNAcentral lists this transfer RNA (63 nucleotides) under Bacteroides fragilis str. 1009-4-F #7. RNAcentral describes it as "partial tRNA-Ala". It matches the Rfam family "tRNA", at positions 1 to 60 of the family's 71-position model. Rfam says of the family: Transfer RNA (tRNA) molecules are approximately 80 nucleotides in length. Their secondary structure includes four short double-helical elements and three loops (D, anti-codon, and T loops). Lineage: Bacteria; Pseudomonadati; Bacteroidota; Bacteroidia; Bacteroidales; Bacteroidaceae. RNAcentral also lists the same sequence under 1 other name. The record is from RNAcentral.